AAAGGGAGACCUAAUUCCGGUAGGAGACGAAAAAAAAGUAGUCCCUACCAAGAAUCAAUCCCAAAAGGUCGGAACGAGGUAUGAGGCUUUCAAACUAGGUUCUGGGUUCAUAAAAGACCUGAAUCAGGAACAAGGGCUAUUAGCUCAGGUGGUUAGAGCGCACCCCUGAUAAGGGUGAGGUCCCUGGUUCGAGUCCAGGAUGGCCCACCUGCACAGGUGGCAAAAACAAGAGAAGCGAGGAAUCAGCACCUUAUCUUAUCUAUAUAUAUAUAGGAGAGAAUGCUGGCUCUGAGUAAAGAGUCCAGAGGAACCUUGAAAACUGCAUAGAGCUAGGUGAAAAAGCCAAAAAAGAAGACCGCAAG
Molecule: transfer RNA, 362 nt
Filed under: uncultured Microcystis sp.
Lineage: Bacteria; Bacillati; Cyanobacteriota; Cyanophyceae; Chroococcales; Microcystaceae
Description: partial 16S-23S ribosomal RNA intergenic spacer
Rfam family: tRNA (bases 134-207)
Source: RNAcentral